GUGGGGAAUAUUGCACAAUGGGCGCAAGCCUGAUGCAGCCAUGCCGCGUGUAUGAAGAAGGCCUUCGGGUUGUAAAGUACUUUCAGCGGGGAGGAAGGCGAUAAGGUUAAUAACCUUGUCGAUUGACGUUACCCGCAGAAGAAGCACCGGCUAACUCCGUGCCAGCAGCCGCGGUAAUACGGAGGGUGCAAGCGUUAAUCGGAAUUACUGGGCGUAAAGCGCACGCAGGCGGUCUGUCAAGUCGGAUGUGAAAUCCCCGGGCUCAACCUGGGAACUGCAUUCGAAACUGGCAGGCUAGAGUCUUGUAGAGGGGGGUAGAAUUCCAGGUGUAGCGGUGAAAUGCGUAGAGAUCUGGAGGAAUACCGGUGGCGAAGGCGGCCCCCUGGACAAAGACUGACGCUCAGGUGCGAAAGCGUGGGGAGCAAACAGGAUUAGAUACCCGAGUAGUCC
RNAcentral lists this ribosomal RNA (450 nucleotides) under uncultured bacterium. Its description in RNAcentral is "partial 16S ribosomal RNA". It matches the Rfam family "Bacterial small subunit ribosomal RNA", at positions 354 to 796 of the family's 1533-position model. The record is from RNAcentral.